Xiphias gladius (swordfish) is the source of this 1247-nucleotide long non-coding RNA. RefSeq lists it as uncharacterized. Lineage: Eukaryota; Metazoa; Chordata; Actinopteri; Istiophoriformes; Xiphiidae. The transcript is spliced from 2 exons. The record is from RefSeq and is a predicted model, not a curated record.
AAAGGUCAGGAGCUUCAGUUAAGCUUCACAUCAAACAUCAGACUGGGGGGGGGGUCUGAGUGACUUUGACUGUGGUAUCAUUGUUGGUGCCAGUCAGGCUGGUUUGAGUAUUUCUGAAACUGUUGAUCUCCUGGGAUUUUCAAACACAACAGUCUGUAGGGUUUAUUCAGAAUGGUGCCAAUCUACUGCUCUGUGGAUGGAAAUGCUUUGCUGAUGAGAGAGGUCAGAGGAGAAUGGCCAGAGUGGUUCGAGCUGACAGAAAGGCUUCGGUAACUCGGAUAACCGCUCCUUUAAACUGUGGAGAGCAGAAAAGCAUCUCAAGAUAAACAACAGGCUGAACCUUGAGGCGAAUGGACUACAACAGCAGAAGACCACAUCGGGUUUUGCAAUCCUGUCAGCGAAGAACAUAAAUUUGAGGCUGCAGGGGGCACGGGCUCACCAAAACUGGACAGUUUGUGGACAGAGUGGAAAAGCAUAGCCUGGCCUCAUGAAUCCCACAGAUGGUAUGGUCAGAAUUGGGCGUCAACAGCAUGAAUCCAUGGACCCAACCUGCCUUGUGUCAACAGUCCAGGCUGGUAAUGACAUCCACAGGUGAGGUACUUCAUGGCGGUCAUGCUGAUGUGCAUGAGAGGGCCCAGGUUGAAGAGCAUGUGGUAGAAGGCAUGGACAGACAGGCCUCCGGUUUCAUCAGCAUAUUUCAGUGCUACGAUGGGCGUGUACAUAGCGUUGGUCAGAUUACGGAAACGUGGGCUGCUUGCUUCAAUCACUUUCUUGGUGCACUGCAGAAAGUGGGAGGAUGGAUAGAAAAGACUCAAGAUUUGCAGUCAGACUUAAAGGAUUAAUCACCGGUGCAGACAAACCAAUAAGGCAGAGUGAGGCUGAGUCACAGACUACUUGAGAACUUACUCUGGCGAUGUCAUCAGGUGUUUGUCCCAGUGUUUCAAAGAUGUCGAUAGAAGAAGGAAGGUAGACAUUUUUGAAGUAAUGCACUGUGUCAGGAUCAGCUCCAGGACACUCCCUCUGCUUCACCUCCUGGAUCAUCUUUGCCUCAAAUUCCGUGUGCACUGGACCCGGCUCAAUCAUUGACAGUCUGAGGAAAGAGACACUGGAGCUCAACAACAGAGCAUGGUCAGAUGGAAGAAGAGCCCUAUGGGCAUAUGAAAUCAUUAAUUGAUCGAUUACGUGACAGCGUAUGGCUCCACAACAGUUUAAAUACUUCAUUAAUCCAUUAAAAAUUCUGCAUACUG